RNAcentral lists this ribosomal RNA (213 nucleotides) under Triticum aestivum (bread wheat). Its description in RNAcentral is "partial small subunit ribosomal RNA". Lineage: Eukaryota; Viridiplantae; Streptophyta; Magnoliopsida; Poales; Poaceae. The record is from RNAcentral.
AUGGCAAAGUCUUGUCGUAAAGCAACAGAAUUUUUUGGAGUUAUUCAGCGUAUUUAUACAAUAUUUGCUAAUUCUACUAAGAGAUGGCAAAUUCUGAAAGAUAACAUACCAGGAUUGACACUCAAGGCAUUGUCAUCUACUCGCUGGGAGAGUCGUGUUGAUAGUGUUCAGGCUAUAAGGUUUCAGCUACCGGAAAUACAGGAGGCCUUACUU